RNAcentral lists this ribosomal RNA (473 nucleotides) under uncultured bacterium. RNAcentral describes it as "bacterial SSU rRNA". It matches the Rfam family "Bacterial small subunit ribosomal RNA", at positions 64 to 524 of the family's 1533-position model. The record is from RNAcentral.
GAGCGGAUCUUCUCCUUCGGGGGAAGGUUAGCGGCGGACGGGUGAGUAACACGUAGGCAACCUGCCUGCAAGACUGGGAUAACAUUCGGAAACGAAUGCUAAGACCGGAUACGCAAGUAUGAGGCAUCUCGGACUUGGGAAAGACGGAGCAAUCUGUCACUUGCAGAUGGGCCUGCGGCGCAUUAGCUAGUUGGUGAGGUAACGGCUCACCAAGGCGACGAUGCGUAGCCGACCUGAGAGGGUGACCGGCCACACUGGGACUGAGACACGGCCCAGACUCCUACGGGAGGCAGCAGUAGGGAAUCUUCCACAAUGGGCGAAAGCCUGAUGGAGCAACGCCGCGUGAGUGAGGAAGGCUUUCGGGUCGUAAAGCUCUGUUGCCAGGGAAGAACAAGCGGGAGAGUAACUGCUCUCGCAAUGACGGUACCUGAGAAGAAAGCCCCGGCUAACUACGUGCCAGCAGCCGCGGUAAU